CCUACGGGAGGCAGCAGUGAGGAAUAUUGGUCCAUGGACGAGAGUCUGAACCAGCCAAGUAGCGUGAAGGAUGACUGCCCUAUGGGUUGUAAACUUCUUUUAUAUGGGAAUAAAAUGUUCCACGUGUGGGAUUUUGUAUGUACCCUAUGAAUAAGGAUCGGCUAACUCCGUGCCAGCAGCCGCGGUAAUACGGAGGAUCCGAGCGUUAUCCGGAUUUAUUGGGUUUAAAGGGAGCGUAGGUGGAUUGUUAAGUCAGUUGUGAAAGUUUGCGGCUCAACCGUAAAAUUGCAGUUGAAACUGGCAGUCUUGAGUACAGUAGAGGUGGGCGGAAUUCGUGGUGUAGCGGUGAAAUGCUUAGAUAUCACGAAGAACUCCGAUUGCGAAGGCAGUUCACUGGACUGCAACUGACACUGAGGCUCGAAAGUGUGGGUAUCAAACAGGAUUAGAUACCCGUGUAGUC
RNAcentral lists this ribosomal RNA (460 nucleotides) under uncultured bacterium. RNAcentral describes it as "partial 16S ribosomal RNA". It matches the Rfam family "Bacterial small subunit ribosomal RNA", at positions 338 to 795 of the family's 1533-position model. The record is from RNAcentral.